GACGAACGCUGGCGGCGUGCUUAACACAUGCAAGUCGAACGGAAAGGCCCUGCUUUUGUGGGGUGCUCGAGUGGCGAACGGGUGAGUAACACGUGAGUAACCUGCCCUUGACUUUGGGAUAACUUCAGGAAACUGGGGCUAAUACCGGAUAGGAGCUCCUGCUGCAUGGUGGGGGUUGGAAAGUUUCGGCGGUUGGGGAUGGACUCGCGGCUUAUCAGCUUGUUGGUGGGGUAGUGGCUUACCAAGGCUUUGACGGGUAGCCGGCCUGAGAGGGUGACCGGCAACAUUGGGACUGAGAUACGGCCCAGACUCCUACGGGAGGCAGCAGUGGGUAAUAUUGCACAAUGGGCGGAAGCCUGAUGCAGCAACGCCGCGUGCGGGAUGACGGCCUUCGGGUUGUAAACCGCUUUCGCCUGUGACGAAGCGUGAGUGACGGUAAUGGGUAAAGAAGCACCGGCUAACUACGUG
This 468-nucleotide ribosomal RNA is filed under the name uncultured bacterium. RNAcentral's name for it is "partial 16S ribosomal RNA". It matches the Rfam family "Bacterial small subunit ribosomal RNA", at positions 28 to 507 of the family's 1533-position model. The record is from RNAcentral.